GGAAACAGGUGCUAAUACCGUAUAACAAGCGAAACCGCAUGGUUUUGAUUUGAAAGGCGCUUUCGGGUGUCGCUGAUGGAUGGACCCGCGGUGCAUUAGCUAGUUGGUGAGGUAACGGCUCACCAAGGCCACGAUGCAUAGCCGACCUGAGAGGGUGAUCGGCCACAUUGGGACUGAGACACGGCCCAAACUCCUACGGGAGGCAGCAGUAGGGAAUCUUCGGCA
Molecule: ribosomal RNA, 225 nt
Filed under: Enterococcus faecium
Lineage: Bacteria; Bacillati; Bacillota; Bacilli; Lactobacillales; Enterococcaceae
Description: partial 16S ribosomal RNA
Rfam family: Bacterial small subunit ribosomal RNA
Source: RNAcentral